Erinaceus europaeus (western European hedgehog) is the source of this 199-nucleotide non-coding RNA. NCBI's taxonomy places the organism in Eukaryota, Metazoa, Chordata, Mammalia, Eulipotyphla, Erinaceidae. The record is from Rfam.
UGGUGAUCACCGCAGAUUUACCCGUCUGUGAGAUUGAUCCGUUUUAAGGUAAGAAAGAGCGACGCAAUUAUGGGACAGGCAUUGAGCAAGCAUGAUUUAUUUCUUAGGGGCCUCAAAGAGUCCCUCAAGACACGAGGAACAAGGGUUAAGAAAAAGGAUCUCAAAAAGUUUUUCGAUUUUGUGAAUGAUGUUUGUCCAU